Molecule: ribosomal RNA, 484 nt
Filed under: uncultured Clostridiaceae bacterium
Lineage: Bacteria; Bacillati; Bacillota; Clostridia; Eubacteriales; Clostridiaceae
Description: partial 16S ribosomal RNA
Source: RNAcentral
CACGUAGUUAGCCGUGGCUUCCUCCUUGGGUACCGUCAUUAUCGUCCUCAAAGACAGAGCUUUACAACCCGAAGGCCUUCAUCACUCACGCGGCGUUGCUGCAUCAGGGUUUCCCCCAUUGUGCAAUAUUCCCCACUGCUGCCUCCCGUAGGAGUCUGGGCCGUGUCUCAGUCCCAAUGUGGCCGAUCACCCUCUCAGGUCGGCUACGCAUCGUCGCCUUGGUGAGCCGUUACCUCACCAACUAGCUAAUGCGCCGCGGGUCCAUCUUAUAGCGGAUUGCUCCUUUGGUUAUCGAUCCAUGCGAAUCAACAACUUUAUGCGGUAUUAAUCUUCCUUUCGGAAGGCUAUCCCCCUCUAUAAGGCAGGUUACCCACGUGUUACUCACCCGUCCGCCGCUAAUCCGUUCCCGAAGGAACUUCAUCGCUCGACUUGCAUGUGUUAGGCACGCCGCCAGCGUUGUCCUCGUAGCCACGGAUCAAACUAC